GGGAGAGAUCACUGUGUGCACAGGUGUGUUUGUGCACAGGUGUGUGUUUGUACUGUGCACAGGUGUGUUUAUGCACAGGUGGAAUGUAUUUUGCACAGGUGUUUAUGCACAGGUAUGCAUUUGUGCACAGGUGUUUAUGCACAGGUGUGUGUUUGUGCACAGGUGUGUUUAUGCACAAGUGGAAUGUACUGUGCACAGAUGUGUUUAUGCACAGGUGGAGGUGUACUGUGCAGAGGUGCUUAUAAACAGGUGUGUGUUUAUGCAUAUGGGAUAUGCACUGUGCACAGGUG
Molecule: long non-coding RNA, 290 nt
Organism: Anguilla rostrata (American eel)
Lineage: Eukaryota; Metazoa; Chordata; Actinopteri; Anguilliformes; Anguillidae
Exons: 3
Source: RefSeq, a predicted model, not a curated record